CAAUAGCGUAUAUUAAAGUUGUUGCAGUUAAAACGCUCGUAGUUGGAUUUAUGUCGUACAACUUUUGUCUUUCUUAUGACUGUAUGAUCGUUUGCGACAUCUGUUUCUAGCAUGUAUUUGCAUAGAAACCAGUUACUUUGAGGAAAUUACGGUGUUCAAAGCAGGCUUUUGCCAUGAAUACCUCAGCAUGGAAUAACAGUGACGCUUUCGUUUCUCUGUUGGUUCAAGAAACGUGGGGCUAUGAUUAAUAGAGCCAGUCGAGGGCAUUCGUAUUGAACAGUCAGAGGUGAAAUUCUUAGAUUUGUUCAAGACGAACAACUGCGAAAGCAUCUGCCAAGGAUGGGCUCAUUAAUCAAGAACGAAAGUUAGGGGAUCGAAGACGAUCAGAUACCA
This 393-nucleotide ribosomal RNA is filed under the name uncultured eukaryote. RNAcentral's name for it is "bacterial SSU rRNA". It matches the Rfam family "Eukaryotic small subunit ribosomal RNA", at positions 592 to 1017 of the family's 1831-position model. The record is from RNAcentral.